GGGGAUAUAGAUCAGUGAUAGGAUGCUCGCCUACCAUGCAAAAGACCCUGGGUUCAACCCCCAGUACUACAA
This 72-nucleotide transfer RNA is filed under the name Mus musculus (house mouse). Its description in RNAcentral is "tRNA-Gly". Lineage: Eukaryota; Metazoa; Chordata; Mammalia; Rodentia; Muridae. The record is from RNAcentral.